GGGGUUUCUGUGGCCACCACAGCCACUCUGGCCACCGUGGCCACUGCAGCUCCCGAGGCCACAGAGGCCACCACGACCACUGUGACCCCUCUGACCGCUGUGGCCACCCUGGGCAUUGGGACCACUGGGGUCACCAUCACUGUCCCCAUGGUCACCAUGGCCAUUGUGGCCACCGUGACCUGUGAGGCCACCGUGGUCACUGAACCUGCUGAGGUCACCAUGGUCACUGUGGUCAUUGUGGUCAUUGAGGGCACCGUGGCCAGCACAGCCCCUGUGGCCCCCGUGGUCACCACAAGUCCCCGUUCCACCCCCAAGGACCAGGAGCCCAGUUCCGCCCGGCUCCGGAGCUGGGGGAAGGACCAAGAGCCCCAAACCUGGCCGGGGGUGAAGUUAAACCAAACCAGGUGGAACCUCAGGCUCCGAAGCCAGAAGGAGAUUUUAUAAUAUUUUAUAACAUUUUAUCACAUUUUAUCAUAUUUUACCAUAUUUUAUCAUAAUUACAAAAGGGGAAAUCUUGAAGAGGCCUGGAGGGCCAGCGCUGCCUCACGGAGGGCAACGGGGCUGAGUGGCCUUGGGGACAAGGGGUGAAACAGAGAAAUUAAGAAUUAGGAAGAAAUGCUCGACUAAAAGGGGAGUUUGACAAAAAACAGACCCUGAUACCGUAAUCCACCAGAACAGGAAAAAGGGUCGGACUGCAAGAUGAGAUAAGGAGCUGGAAUACACAAACAAAAUGCAAAGACAAAGGCACCACAGGAUAAAGGAAAUUCCAGAUUUGAGGUCACAAAAAGCGGCCGAAGGACUGCAAGGGACACGGAGCUAAUUGUGAUAUGCAGUGAGGACAGACGGAGUUAGGAAAUUAAUAUGUAUUAGGUGAAAACCUGGUCUGUAAAGGAUAAAAAGGGAAACCCAAUCAAGAAGGUGUGCAUGGUUUUUGGAGGAGAUAUCCCCGUGCACGUCAGCGUUGAAUAAACUCAUACCUGCUCUUAUAACUGCUCUGCGA
RNAcentral lists this long non-coding RNA (1000 nucleotides) under Parus major (Great Tit). RNAcentral's name for it is "lncRNA (ENSPMJG00000013465.1)". The record is from RNAcentral. Lineage: Eukaryota; Metazoa; Chordata; Aves; Passeriformes; Paridae.